AUUGAACGCUGGCGGCAGGCCUAACACAUGCAAGUCGAGCGGCAGCGGAAAGUAGCUUGCUACUUUGCCGGCGAGCGGCGGACGGGUGAGUAAUGUCUGGGGAUCUGCCUGAUGGAGGGGGAUAACUACUGGAAACGGUAGCUAAUACCGCAUAACGUCGCAAGACCAAAGUGGGGGACCUUCGGGCCUCACGCCAUCGGAUGAACCCAGAUGGGAUUAGCUAGUAGGUGGGGUAAUGGCUCACCUAGGCGACGAUCCCUAGCUGGUCUGAGAGGAUGACCAGCCACACUGGGACUGAGACACGGCCCAGACUCCUACGGGAGGCAGCAGUGGGGAAUAUUGCACAAUGGGCGCAAGCCUGAUGCAGCCAUGCCGCGUGUGUGAAGAAGGCCUUCGGGUUGUAAAGCACUUUCAGCGAGGAGGAAGGGUGGUGUGUUAAUAGCACACGACAUUGACGUUACUCGCAGAAGAAGCACCGGCUAACUCCGUGCCAGCAGCCGCCGUAA
This 506-nucleotide ribosomal RNA is filed under the name uncultured bacterium. RNAcentral describes it as "partial 16S ribosomal RNA". It matches the Rfam family "Bacterial small subunit ribosomal RNA", at positions 29 to 523 of the family's 1533-position model. The record is from RNAcentral.